This is a long non-coding RNA of Vespula pensylvanica (western yellowjacket), 337 nucleotides long. RefSeq lists it as uncharacterized. Lineage: Eukaryota; Metazoa; Arthropoda; Insecta; Hymenoptera; Vespidae. The record is from RefSeq and is a predicted model, not a curated record. The transcript is spliced from 2 exons.
UCUUUAUAGAUCGUACCGGACAUCGUGUUCAAGCUCGCGCUCAUUGUGGCGAGAGCCGCGCUUACAAGACCGGCUAAGAACAAACCUGGCAGCCCUGGCACGUUUCCUGCCACGUCCAUUACGUAAUAAGGUAUAUACAUCUAACGAAACAAUUGUCUCUAACCUUGGCGAGCAUAGGAUCGCAAUCGUAAUAUUUGGCGAAUAUGAUUAAUCCCGUGAAAACGGAAACGAGCUUAACGACGAUCAAACCCACGGCUGUUAUGCCCAGCGCUCUGUCAUGGAUGAACAAAACGUUUCGUGAUUUUUUUUUGUCCUUUAAAGGGGGAAGAUGUAAAAA